This 881-nucleotide ribosomal RNA is filed under the name uncultured euryarchaeote. RNAcentral describes it as "bacterial SSU rRNA". It matches the Rfam family "Archaeal small subunit ribosomal RNA", at positions 21 to 904 of the family's 1478-position model. Lineage: Archaea; Methanobacteriati; Methanobacteriota. The record is from RNAcentral.
GGUCACUGUUAUUGGGAUUCGAUUAAGCCAUGCGAGUUGAGGGUGCUUUCGAGUAACCCGGCGAACUGCUCAGUAACACGUGGACAAUCUACUCUUAGGCAGGGGAUAAACCCGGGAAACUGGGGCUAAUACCCUAUAGGAAAUUAUAACUGGAAUGUUUUUUUUCCGAAAGAUUUUUCGCCUAAGAAUGAGUCCGCGGCCGAUUAUGGUAGUUGGUAGGGUAAAUGCCUACCAAGCCGACGAUCGGUACGGGUAGUGAGAGCUAUAGCCCGGAGUUGGGAACUGAGACACGGUCCCAGGCUCUACGGAGCGCAGCAGGCGCGAAACCUUCGCAAUGCCCGAAAGGGUGACGGGGGGAUCCCAAGUGCUGGCGUCAUGCGUUGGCUUUUUUUAAGUGUAAGAAGCUUAAGGAAUAAGGAGAGGGCAAGACCGGUGCCAGCCGCCGCGGUAACACCGGCUCUUCAAAUGGUGGCCAUUUUAUUGGGCUUAAAGCGUUCGUAGCUGGAUUUGUAAGUUUCUGGCGAAAUUCUGUUGCUUAACGAUAGAACUUGCUGGAAAUACUACUCAUCUUGAGACCGGGAGAGGCUAGAGGUACUCCUAGGGUAGGGGUGAAAUCCGUUAAUCCUAGGGGGACCACCUGUGGUGAAGACGUCUAGCUAGAACGGGUCUGACAGUGAGGAACGAAACCCAGGGGAGCAAACCGGAUUAGAUACCCGGGUAGUCCUGGGCGUAAACUAUGUGGGCUAGGUGUCACACAAUCUUUGUGAUUGUGUGGUGCCGAAGGGAAACCGUUAAGCUCAUCGCCUGGGGAGUACGGUCGCAAGGCUGAAACUUAAAGGAAUUGGCGGGGGAGCACCACAAGGGGUGGAACCUGCGGUUUA